UACGGGGGGGCAAGCGUUGUUCGGAAUUACUGGGCGUAAAGGGCUCGUAGGCGGCCAACUAAGUCAGACGUGAAAUCCCUCGGCUUAACCGGGAACUGCGUCUGAUACUGGAUGGCUUGAGAUUGGGAGAGGGAUGCGGAAUUCCAGGUGUAGCGGUGAAAUGCGUAGAUAUCUGGAGGAACACCGGUGGCGAAGGCGGCAUCCUGGACCAACACUGACGCUGAGGAGCGAAAGCCAGGGGAGCAAACGGG
This 251-nucleotide ribosomal RNA is filed under the name uncultured bacterium. RNAcentral's name for it is "partial 16S ribosomal RNA". It matches the Rfam family "Bacterial small subunit ribosomal RNA", at positions 524 to 776 of the family's 1533-position model. The record is from RNAcentral.